UACGGGGGGAGCAAGCGUUGUUCGGAUUUACUGGGCGUAAAGGGCGGGUAGGCGGCCACCGCAAGUCGACUGUGAAAUCUCCGGGCUUAACCCGGAAAGGUCAGCCGAUACUGUGGGGCUAGAGUGCAGAAGGGGCAACUGGAAUUCUCGGUGUAGCGGUGAAAUGCGUAGAUAUCGAGAGGAACACCUGCGGCGAAGGCGGGUUGCUGGGCUGACACUGACGCUGAACUGCGAAAGCUAGGGGAGCGAACGGG
This 254-nucleotide ribosomal RNA is filed under the name uncultured bacterium. RNAcentral describes it as "partial 16S ribosomal RNA". It matches the Rfam family "Bacterial small subunit ribosomal RNA", at positions 524 to 776 of the family's 1533-position model. The record is from RNAcentral.